Molecule: ribosomal RNA, 378 nt
Filed under: Triticum aestivum (bread wheat)
Lineage: Eukaryota; Viridiplantae; Streptophyta; Magnoliopsida; Poales; Poaceae
Description: partial small subunit ribosomal RNA
Source: RNAcentral
AUGGUGUUCUUGCGCCCGGUGGCCACGGGACACACGUGUGCUAUGGUGCAACCCUGGUGCGGCGGUGGCUUCAUCCACCGCGUGAUGGCGGUGGAUGACUGCCCCGCAACCCUGGUGGCGGCUGUCCAUGGCAUCGUCUACAAAAUCUUCAGGUUCUCAAGGGGGUUAUGUUUAGGACAGCCACAGAGCACAAAGAACAAACAUGCUCCUUCUGCAAGAGGGCGAUGUGCAUUACGCUCUUCAAGGGACCAUGCCGAUGUAAAGCAGCAGCGGCCUUUGGAAUGCAUCCAGGGAAGUUUGAGAAUGUCAGGAAGGAGGCCACCAUGCCGAGUGGAGGAGCAGCCAUCACGCCUGGAUCUACGAGGCCUGAAUGUGUGA